Molecule: long non-coding RNA, 2313 nt
Filed under: Naja naja (Indian cobra)
Lineage: Eukaryota; Metazoa; Chordata; Lepidosauria; Squamata; Elapidae
Description: lncRNA (ENSNNAG00000009721.1)
Source: RNAcentral
AUGCCUUUGCUGUGCAGGAUACAUGCCUUUGCUACAGAUUUGUUACUUGGAAAGUGUAAAAACCAAUUCAGUGAAAUAACUGAUUCUGGCAGUGGACCAACUUUGAACAAUAUGUUCAAAUAUAUACAUUUUACUCUGAAUUUGGAAUUGACAAUAUUAUGUCUACAUAUAGUCAGGUAAGAAUUCAAUUUUUAAGAAUAUUCUUUCUUUUUAAUAAUUUACUAUAUAGGAGCAAAGCUAUUUGUGAAAAUAUGAAUUCAGCUUAGGUCCACUUUAGUUGUCUAUAUGGUAUAAGUGGGAACUGUUAAUGAAAACUUCCGUAUGUAUUGAAGGUACUGUGGAUAUAUUGUUUCUUUAGGUUGUCUUGUGUAUAAUAUGAUUGAUUAUUUAAUUAUGGAUCAGAAUUUAAAAGCCCAAAUUCCUUCCCAUGAUUUUAUGUGUUCAUGAGGUGAAAUUUUUGGUUUGGAGUACAACCAACAUCUUAAAAGUUAUCAUCCUGCAACUCAUAAGUCAAGAGAAUAUGGAGCAGUGAUCACCAUAUACACUUUUAAAAUAGGAGCAGAAAUAGAUUAUGGAUGAAAUUUUGAACUCAGUCUCAAACUUCAAUCAGUAAUUUAUUCACUUUAAAUCAAGAAAAGAAAAAAAUGCCUUUCAUAGUUUCUGAGUGACUAAAUACAACACAAUAUUAUUUUAAUUGCUAUAGAAUUGACAUAUUUGCAUGAUAGUUUUAUUCUGGUCUGCUAUUUAUCCAUCUUUUAAAAAUGGUUGUAAAUGAAAAUUUUAUGUCAUUGCACUUUUUAAAAUUGAAAAUCUCCAUUUUCUUGUUUAUAGAUACAUGUUUUCUCUCUGUUAGGGCACAUAAAGAGAUUUUAAAAAUAAUGAAAGUAUUUCUACAAUCCAGAAGAUUGGACUAACCCGGUUCUUCUUGAAUAUGUGACAGUUAGGGAGGUAGUUAAGAGGAAGAAAAGAGCAAAGGAUCCAUUUGGAUUGGGUUUGGCCUUCAUUACCUUCAUAUUAAAGAAGUGCCACAUUUUCUGUGCUUUUUAAAAAAAACAUUUUACAUGUUUUUUUCUAACAGAAACUUUGGUUAUACUAUCAAAGUGCAGCCCCCCCAACAUUAACGCUUCUCUGAGACUGAUAAUAUGGAAGUUUCUCAAAUAUAACUUUUAAAAUAAUAUUUGCCACAAAGUAUGUUGACAACUCAUACAGAACCUUCUGCUUGCCAUAAAUCAAAUGUUUUACAGUUCUGCUAGAUAGUAUUUAAUAUUAUUUGUGGUAGUUUUUCCAUUACAGUAUUUCAUUUUCUAUCUUGUGGUAUGACAUCAAUUCCCAAAUAGCCUCUGUUUUGCAAAAUGUUUCAUCUCCAACAUAUUGAACAUUAUCUGUAUUUUUUUAAAAGAUAGUCUUUUGGCUAGCAAAGAAGAUGAAUAAGGAUGUGGAAGGAUUGCAAAGUGGAAUUUUUACAUAGGCACAAAUCACAAUUGCUAAAAUAGUUAUGAAAAUGUUUCCCCCUAAUAUGGAAUCCAGUGGUCAGCAAAUGAUUUAAGAGAAAAAUAAUGUGCUUUUUUGUUUUUAAUGUUUUAUGGCCAACCUAUGCCUUUUCCUAUGCUAUUAUUGGAAAAAUGUCUGGAUUUGGUGAUUUCCUAAUAUGUAUCAGUGAUUGUAUGAUUUUAUUAGUAUAGUUAUAGCUUCUAACAACUACAAUCAUGUUAUAUAACUUGAAAGCUUUAAUGAGUUUUCAAAAAUAAUUUGAAGUUUUUAUUUGCUGCAUUAGGGCAAUGAAGUAUAUUUGUGUUACAGUUUAUCUCUUGAUUAAUGCCUGUGAUUUAUGGCAAGAGAAGUUUCUUGUAAUAGAAAAAUUUUCAGUCAGCCAAUGUCAAAAUGAUAUUUAUUCAUGCAUAUAACCAUUCUAAGUUUUUCAAAUUAAAUGACCCAGUAAUGGUAUCCACUCAUACAAAAUCAAUUUGAGGAAGAUUUGUUUUUUUCAUCUGUGCUAGGAAUUCUAUGACUAAAUGUUAACACUCUUAGGUUGAGUUUUUCUAUAAUGUACUAUAUUUAGAAUAAUUUUGAGCAUAGUUUUUACAUGCUCAGUUUAAGCCUAAUAGAUCAUUCGUUGUUCAGAAGUGAAUGCCAGUAAUUAGUGAUACUUAAAAGACCAAGCAAACCAACACAAAAAAGCCUUUAUUAAACAAAAAGAAUUCACCUCAAGUUUGUAAAAAUAGGUGCUUUGGAAAGAAUGUCCUAUGCUUUGUGUUCAGUAAUAUGGGUAGUAAAAUACUUAACAAGGAGUCUACAAAGCAUAUUUUAAAUUGC